RNAcentral lists this ribosomal RNA (449 nucleotides) under uncultured bacterium. RNAcentral describes it as "bacterial SSU rRNA". It matches the Rfam family "Bacterial small subunit ribosomal RNA", at positions 28 to 524 of the family's 1533-position model. The record is from RNAcentral.
GACGAACGCUGGCGGUGUGCUUCACACAUGCAAGUCGAACGAGGUAGCAAUACCUAGUGGCGGACGGGUGAGUAAACGCGUGGGAAUCUGCCUUUAGAUGGGGGAUAACGGGUCGAAAGACUCGCUAAUACCGCAUAUGACGAAAGUUGAAAGGAGUAAUCCGUCUAAAGAUGAGCCCGCGUCCGAUUAGCUAGUUGGUAGAGUAAAAGCCUACCAAGGCGACGAUCGGUAGCUGGUCUGAGAGGAUGAUCAGCCACAAUGGGACUAGAGACACGGCCCAUACUCCUACGGAGGCAGCAGUGGGAAUUUACGCAAUGGGCGAAAGCCUGACGUAGCGACACCGCGUGAGCGAAGAAGCCCUGGGUGUAAAGCUCUGUCAGCUGGACGAAAAAAAUGACGGUACCAGCAGAGGAAGCAUCGGCUAACUACGUGCCAGCAGCCGCGGUAAU